GACGAACGCUGGCGGCGUGCCUAAUACAUGCAAGUAGAACGCUGAAGGAGGAGCUUUCUUCUCCGGAUGAGUUGCGAACGGGUGAGUAACGCGUAGGUAAACUGCCUGGUAGCGGGGGAGAACUAUUGGGAACGAUAGCUAAUACCGCAUAACAGUAGAUGUUGCAUGACAUUUGCUUAAAAGGUGCAAUUGCAUCACUACCAGAUGGACCUGCGUCGUAGUAGCUAGUUGGUGAGGUAACGGCGCUCCAAGGCGGCGAUACAUCGCCGGCCUCGGAGGGGGAUCCGCCACCCUGGGACUGGGGAACGGGCCCGACUCCUAAGGGAGGGCGCAGUAGGGGAUCUUCGGGAAAGGGCGGAAGGCUGAACGGGCCAAGCCGGGGGGGGGGAGAAGGUUUUCGGAUCGUAAAGAUCUGGUGUAAGGGGAGAAAGAGAGGGGGAGGGGACUGUGCACGUCGUGACGGUACCUUACCAGAAAGGGACGGCUAACUACGUG
This 495-nucleotide ribosomal RNA is filed under the name uncultured bacterium. RNAcentral describes it as "partial 16S ribosomal RNA". It matches the Rfam family "Bacterial small subunit ribosomal RNA", at positions 28 to 507 of the family's 1533-position model. The record is from RNAcentral.